CAGCACGGGGGCAACCCUGGUGGCGAGUGGCGAACGGGUGAGUAAUACAUCGGAACGUGUCCUGUAGUGGGGGAUAGCCCGGCGAAAGCCGGAUUAAUACCGCAUACGCUCUACGGAGGAAAGGGGGGGAUCUUAGGACCUCCCGCUACAGGGGCGGCCGAUGGCAGAUUAGCUAGUUGGUGGGGUAAAGGCCUACCAAGGCGACGAUCUGUAGCUGGUCUGAGAGGACGACCAGCCACACUGGGACUGAGACACGGCCCAGACUCCUACGGGAGGCAGCAGUGGGGAAUUUUGGACAAUGGGCGAAAGCCUGAUCCAGCAAUGCCGCGUGUGUGAAGAAGGCCUUCGGGUUGUAAAGCACUUUUGUCCGGAAAGAAAACCUCCGCCCUAAUAUGGUGGGGGGAUGACGGUACCGGAAGAAUAAGCACCGGCUAACUACGUGCCAGCACG
This 450-nucleotide ribosomal RNA is filed under the name uncultured bacterium. RNAcentral's name for it is "bacterial SSU rRNA". It matches the Rfam family "Bacterial small subunit ribosomal RNA", at positions 70 to 515 of the family's 1533-position model. The record is from RNAcentral.